AAUUCUCAAACCUCAAUGGCUUUAUUGACAUUGAGGCUUUGGAUGUGGGGGUUGCUGGACUCUAACGAGCUCAGCUCUCCUUAAAUGCAUUAGUGGUUACUGUUUCCCACUUCCUGGUGUGAUAAUAUCUACGCCUAGUGGGAAUGUUAAGUGUAGCUGCUUUCGAACCGUCCAUGAAAUGUGGACAACUUGAACC
RNAcentral lists this unclassified non-coding RNA (196 nucleotides) under Hemimycena sp. RNAcentral's name for it is "partial internal transcribed spacer 2". The record is from RNAcentral. RNAcentral also lists the same sequence under 1 other name. Lineage: Eukaryota; Fungi; Basidiomycota; Agaricomycetes; Agaricales; Mycenaceae.